AGCUCCAAUAGCGUAUAUUAAAGUUGCUGCAGUUAAAAAGCUCGUAGUUGCAUUUCCGAGGCAAGGGAUUAGUCCGACCUUUGGUGGGUAUUUAAUCCUCUUGCCUCGUCCUUGAGUGGUGCUUCUUGGUAUUAAGUUAUCGAGGAGAUAGCCGCUCAUCGUUUACUGUGAGAAAAUUAGAGUGUUCAAAGCAGGCUUAUGCCGUUGAAUAUAUUAGCAUGGAAUAAUAAGAUAGGACCUCGGUACUAUUUUGUUGGUUUGAGAACCAAGGUAAUGAUGAAUAGGGACAGUUGGGGGUAUUCGUAUUCAGUUGUCAGAGGUGAAAUUCUUAGAUUUACGAAAGACAAACUACUGCGAAAGCAUUUACCAAGGAUGUUUUCA
This 381-nucleotide ribosomal RNA is filed under the name uncultured marine Chaetocerotaceae. RNAcentral's name for it is "SSU rRNA". It matches the Rfam family "Eukaryotic small subunit ribosomal RNA", at positions 587 to 972 of the family's 1831-position model. Lineage: Eukaryota; Bacillariophyta; Thalassiosirophyceae; Chaetocerotales; Chaetocerotaceae. The record is from RNAcentral.